Lemur catta (Ring-tailed lemur) is the source of this 104-nucleotide small nucleolar RNA. RefSeq annotates it as small nucleolar RNA U13. NCBI's taxonomy places the organism in Eukaryota, Metazoa, Chordata, Mammalia, Primates, Lemuridae. The transcript has a single exon. The record is from RefSeq and is a predicted model, not a curated record.
AUCCUGUUGUGGUUCUUAGGAGUGAUGACUGGGUUUUCAUGCUCAUGUGUGACAUGUGCCUCCCUCAAACCUUGUUACAAAAUGGACACAUUAACUGUCUGAGG